AAAGUCUCUUCACUGAUGUUUUGAAUUGACUACACCAAACAUUCAAGAUUUAAAAUCCUUUAUUAAUCCCACAAUGGAGAAAAUUCACACUGUUGCAGCAGCAAGGGAUAAG
Long non-coding RNA from Etheostoma cragini (Arkansas darter), 112 nucleotides. RefSeq lists it as uncharacterized. The record is from RefSeq and is a predicted model, not a curated record. The transcript is spliced from 5 exons. NCBI's taxonomy places the organism in Eukaryota, Metazoa, Chordata, Actinopteri, Perciformes, Percidae.